UGGGGAAUUUUGCACAAUGGGGGAAACCCUGAUGCAGCGACGCCGCGUGAUUUAGAAGGCCUUCGGGUUGUAAAAAUCUUUUCUAUGGGAAGAAAAUGACAGUACCAUAGGAAUAAGGGCCGGCUAAUUACGUGCCAGCAGCCGCGGUAAUACGUAAGGUCCGAGCGUUGUCCGGAAUCAUUGGGCGUAAAGGGUACGUAGGCGGGUAAGCAAGUUAGAAGUGAAAUCCUAUAGCUCAACUAUAGUAAGCUUUUAAAACUGCUCAUCUUGAGGUAUGGAAGGGAAAGUGGAAUUCCUAGUGUAGCGGUGAAAUGCGCAGAUAUUAGGAGGAAUACCGGUGGCGAAGGCGACUUUCUGGCCAUAACCUGACGCUGAGGUACGAAAGCGUGGGUAGCAAACAGG
RNAcentral lists this ribosomal RNA (402 nucleotides) under bacterium. RNAcentral describes it as "partial 16S ribosomal RNA". It matches the Rfam family "Bacterial small subunit ribosomal RNA", at positions 355 to 776 of the family's 1533-position model. RNAcentral also lists the same sequence under 1 other name. The record is from RNAcentral.